Long non-coding RNA from Drosophila pseudoobscura, 961 nucleotides. RefSeq lists it as uncharacterized. The transcript has 2 exons. The record is from RefSeq and is a predicted model, not a curated record. NCBI's taxonomy places the organism in Eukaryota, Metazoa, Arthropoda, Insecta, Diptera, Drosophilidae.
CAAAACUUGUUAAUGUUCAAAUAGAACAACAAAGUUGCUGUGCAGUUUAUUGUUUGUCUAAUUUCGCUGGCUCAUCUUUUUGUAGCCAACCCAAAGCGCGGCAACGAUUUUAGGCUGGCAGUGCCGUCCAUUCCGAGAGAGAGAGACCGUUUCUGUUUUCUGUUUGCCUCACAGGCUGCUGUUAACAGAAAUCAAUUAACGACUUGGUAGUGGUGUGAUGCACAGAAAGCCAAAGCAGAGAAAAAUCUUCCGCACAGAAGCAGCCAAGGUACACUUAACAGACGGUAAGGCCUCUCCGGGCAGUGUACAUUACCUGCCGCUCUCUCUGCUUACCCCCUGCUUCGUAUGCCAUGGCAGCAACGUGCUAAACGCUGACACAACACAGCUGACUCGUCUCUCUCUCGCUCUCGCGCACCAACACAGCUGGAAAUGUACUGGCAGCGGCCAUUGAGAAAACAAAACCAAAUAAACACAAAAAACGAAGCAAAAAGAUAGAAAUUUCGCAACGGUUCGAGAUUUUGCUAUGCUACCGUCUCUUUUUUUAACAAAAAAUAAUAAUAAUAAGCUACCGAUGACGACAUUUCGCCCGUUAACCCGAUUUCUUCGACUGUUCCCAGAGGAAAUGUUUACAGAAAAAUACACUGGCACUCUUACCUCUCUUUUUACUGUUGUUGCGCGCAAGAGAAAGAUGUGUGGCAGUGAGAAAGAGAGCUGCCUCUGCCUCUCCAGGUGCCUGCCUCCGCACUGACUUGACUUUCACAAAAAUAAACUCGAAAACAGCAAAAAAUAUUUAUUUGCGUUUUCUUUUCACUUUGUAUCCGCUUCUGCUGCUGCUGCACUUUCUCCGCAGAGGAGUCUCACACACAAUUUUCACGUGCCCCGGAGGAAAACAGUUUUCUUUUGUACGCUAUUUAUCUGGUCAGUGCCGUUGCUGUUUUGUGGGCCAUUGAGCAAUUUUUAA